ACGGUACCGGACAUAUGCCCGGGAAUUCGGCCAUUACGGCCGGGCACAUGCAAGUUGAACGAAGAUAAUAGUUCAUUGAAUUAUAAUACUUAGUAGCGGACGGGUGAGUAACGCGUAAGAAUCUACCUUUAGGAAAAGGAUAACAACUGGAAACGGUUGCUAAUACUUUAUAUGCUGAGAAGUUAAAUAGGUUACUGCCUAAAGAUGAGCUUGCGUCUGAUUAGCUAGUUGGUAAGGUAAAGGCUUACCAAGGCAAUUAUCAGUAGUUGGUCUGAGAGGAUGAUCAGCCACACUGGGACUGAGACACGGCCCAGACUCCUACGGGAGGCAGCAGUGAGGAAUUUUUCGCAAUGGGCGCAAGCCUGACGAAGCAAUACCGCGUGAAGGAUGAAGGCCUGCGGGUUGUAAACUUCUUUUAUUAGAGAAGAUAAUGACGGUAUCUAAUGAAUAAGCAUCGGCUAAAUAUGUGCCAGCAGCCGCGGUAAGACAUAUGAUGCAAGCGUUAUCCGGAAUGAUUGGGCGUAAAGCGUCUGUAGGUUGUUUAAAAAGUCAACUGUCAAAAACUAAAGCUCAACUUUAGGCAGGCAGUUGAAACUUUUAGACUAGAGUAUGGCAGAGGUAGAGGGAAUUACUGGUGUAACGGUGAAAUGUGCAGAUAUCAGUAAGAACACCAAUGGCGAAAGCACUCUACUGGACCAAAACUGACACUCAGAGACGAAAGCUAGGGGAGCGAAUAGGAUUAGAUACCCUAGUAGUCCUAGCUGUAAACGAUGGAAACUAAAUAUUGCGUUUUUAAAAUGCAGUAUUGUAGCUAACGCGUUAAG
RNAcentral lists this ribosomal RNA (824 nucleotides) under Ulva prolifera. Its description in RNAcentral is "bacterial SSU rRNA". It matches the Rfam family "Bacterial small subunit ribosomal RNA", at positions 1 to 864 of the family's 1533-position model. The record is from RNAcentral. Lineage: Eukaryota; Viridiplantae; Chlorophyta; Ulvophyceae; Ulvales; Ulvaceae.